RNAcentral lists this ribosomal RNA (253 nucleotides) under uncultured bacterium. RNAcentral describes it as "partial 16S ribosomal RNA". It matches the Rfam family "Bacterial small subunit ribosomal RNA", at positions 524 to 776 of the family's 1533-position model. The record is from RNAcentral.
UACGAAGGGGGCUAGCGUUGCUCGGAAUCACUGGGCGUAAAGCGCACGUAGGCGGCUUACUAAGUCAGGGGUGAAAUCCUGGAGCUCAACUCCAGAACUGCCUUUGAUACUGGUAGGCUUGAGUCCGGGAGAGGUGAGUGGAACUGCGAGUGUAGAGGUGAAAUUCGUAGAUAUUCGCAAGAACACCAGUGGCGAAGGCGGCUCACUGGCCCGGUACUGACGCUGAGGAGCGAAAGCCAGGGGAGCAAACGGG